AGUAAGAUGGACAGUAGUAGCUUCCCCUUCACUGAUAGUAGAGAGUGUCAGUAGAGGGGAAAGCCUAUCAACCAAACUGAAAUGGGGUCUAGUUCACAAAUUUAAGUCCUUGUUGUCAAUGAUCAGUUUAUAAAAGUCAAGGAAAUUCCUUCUCAUGUUUGUCCUGCCAGUGGCCCAAGCCAGCGCGUUUCGGGGAGGGCCUGUUCAUACCCGUUGCGGUGCUCUUAACCGAGUGUCUCGAUGGGCCGGCACGUUUACUUUGAACAAAUUAGAGUGCUUAAAGCAGGCAGCAGCCACCUGAAUACCGAGUGCAUGGAAUAAUGGAAUAGGACCUCGGUUCUAUUUUGUUGGUUUUCGGAAUCCCCGAGGUACCGAUCAACAGGGACAGACGGGGCCAUUCGUAUUGCGACGUUAGACGUCAAAUUCUUGGAUCGUCGCAAGACGGACCGAAGCGAAAGCAUUUCCCAAGAUUGUUUUCUCUGAUCAAGAACGAAAGUUAGAGGUUCGAAGGCGAUCAGAUACCGCCCUAGUUCUAACCAUAAACAAUGCCAGCCAGUAAUCCGCCAAAGUUCCUCCGAUGACUCGGCGGGCAGCUUCCAGGAAACCAAAGCUUUUGGGUUCUGGGUUCCGGGGGAAGUAUGGUUGCAAAGCUGAAACUUAAAGGAAUUGACGGAAGGGCACCACCAGGAGUGGAGCCUGCGGCUUAAUUUGACUCAACAUGGGAAACCUCACCAGGCCCGGACAUCGGGAGGAUUGACAGAUUGAGAGCUCUUUCUUGAUUCGGUGGGUGGUGGUGCAUGGCCGUUCUUAGUUGGUGGAGCAAUUUGUCUGGUUAAUUCCGAUAACGAACGAGACUCUAGACGAGACAUACGUUAUACACUUUAUCGCACACAGUUUCAAAGGCAACCUCGUAUUCUCAUGCAAAAUGAGCCCUGAUUUCUCUUUCCCAAAGCUCUCGUAUUCCCCUUGUCCUUCUCAUGAACAGGCCAUAUACUCACACAUAGUUCUACGUAAACGCAUGUCCAUUUCUUUUUGUUUUGCCCAAAAUUACCCAUACCACUCACUCCUAAAGCAUCACCAAUA
This 1083-nucleotide ribosomal RNA is filed under the name Periplaneta americana (American cockroach). RNAcentral's name for it is "bacterial SSU rRNA". It matches the Rfam family "Eukaryotic small subunit ribosomal RNA", at positions 638 to 1438 of the family's 1831-position model. The record is from RNAcentral. Lineage: Eukaryota; Metazoa; Arthropoda; Insecta; Blattodea; Blattidae.